GUUUUCUUCCGCUUACCCCGGCUGGGAGCGCGAACGCUGUGGGGACUGGAGGUGAGGCGGUGGGGCUUAGGAUGCGCAGGAGCCCAACGGUGGUCCGCAGUCGGGAGAGCAGUGCGGGGCUGCUUCCUCCCCACUUGGUCAAUAAGUCGCCCACGUGUCCGGCCUCGGUGGCUCCUGCCAGCCGGGUGAGCUCUGCAGCCGCUCUCUGUAGAGCCUAAAACCGUGAAAAGGCCGGGCCAGCGCCAAGCUGGGCGUCUUUACUGUAACACACCCGAGCACAGCCCAGCUCGCCUGCCCGCCACCGCCAUCCAGCCCCAGGGAGCCCCACACACUCCUGGAGCUUCAGCUGCCCCCUCUCUAGUGUUUACUUGAGAUCCAGCUUAGUCCUAGAAAAAGGAGCUGAAGCCUUAGAGAGCCUGUAACAGGAAUGUGGAAACUUCUCUCAUCCUAGAUCUCUCCAGCCCUAGAAACUACUGGCUACCCGUCCAGGCGUGGUGGCUCACGCCUGUAAUCGCAACACUUUGGGAGGCCAAGGCGGGUGGAUCACGAGGUCAAGAGAUCGAGACCAUCCUGGCCAACAUGGUGAAACCCGUCUCUACUAAAAAUACAAAAAAGCCGAGUGUGGUGGUGGGCGCCUGUAGUCCCAACUACUCCGGAGGCUGAGGCAGGAGAAUCACUUGAACCCGGGAAGCGGAGUUUGCAGUGAGCCAAGAUGACACCGCUGCACUCCAGCCAGGCCAACAGAGCAAGACUACGUCUCCAAAAAAAAAAAAAAACCUACUGGCUACCUAAGCCAUCCUGCAGUCUGUUUUAACACAGCAACCAGUAAUCCUUUUAAAACCUGUCAGGUCUAGCCGAGCGCGGUGGCUCAUGCCUGUAAUCCCAGCACUUUGGGAGGCCAAGGCGGGCGGAUCACCUGAGGUCUGGAGUUCAAGACCAGCCUGGCCAACAUGCUGAAACUGCGUCUCUACUAAAAAUACAAAAAUUAGCCAGGCAUGGUGGCAGGCGCCUAUAAUCCCAGCUACCUGGGAGGCUGAGGCAGGAGAAUCGCUUGAACACAGGAGGCAGAGGUUGCAGUGAGCUGAGAUCGCGCUAUUGCACUCCAGCCUGGGGGACAAGAGCGAGACUUCAUCUCAAAAACAAACAGGAAACCUGUCAGGUUCAUUCACCUGUUGCCAACAACAUGAGGGAGUUUCUCCACAGCCCUUGAUUCCUGAAUUGUUCAACAAAUCAACAGUCACCAAUAC
RNAcentral lists this long non-coding RNA (1247 nucleotides) under Homo sapiens (human). Its description in RNAcentral is "HSALNT0345250". Lineage: Eukaryota; Metazoa; Chordata; Mammalia; Primates; Hominidae. The record is from RNAcentral.